This 498-nucleotide ribosomal RNA is filed under the name uncultured bacterium. RNAcentral describes it as "partial 16S ribosomal RNA". It matches the Rfam family "Bacterial small subunit ribosomal RNA", at positions 27 to 507 of the family's 1533-position model. The record is from RNAcentral.
GGAUGAACGCUGGCGGCGUGCCUAAUACAUGCAAGUCGAGCGAACGGACGAGAAGCUUGCUUCUCUGAUGUUAGCGGCGGACGGGUGAGUAACACGUGGAUAACCUACCUAUAAGACUGGGAUAACUUCGGGAAACCGGAGCUAAUACCGGAUGAUAUUUUGAACCGCAUGGUUCAAAAGUGAAAGACGGUCUUGCUGGCACUUAUAGAUGGAUCCGCGCUGCAUUAGCUAGUUGGUAAGGUAACGGCUUACCAAGGCAACGAUGCAUAGCCGACCUGAGAGCGUGAUCGGCCACACUGGAACUGAGACACGGUCCAGACUCCUACGGGAGGCCGCAGUAGGGAAUCUUCCGCAAUGGGCGAAAGCCUGACGGAGCAACGCCGCGUGAGUGAUGAAGGUCUUCGGAUCGUAAAACUCUGUUAUUAGGGAAGAACAUAUGUGUAAGUAACUGUGCACAUCUUGACGGUACCUAAUCAGAAAGCCACGGCUAACUACGUG